UCUAAAACCUUCAGGAUACCGGGGGUCGAGGCCUGGCGUUGCCUACCCCUGGUUUACAAGGAACAACCAAUCGGAGGAAAGUUGGCUUAAUGCAGGAGAAGGAAGGAAGAAGAUGAUGGUGAAGUGAUUUUAGGCUUAUUUUAGAUAAAGAUGAUGAUGAUUCUUCUACCUGCGAGCCAUGUCGUGCUCAUCAAAGCCAGUCCUGUUUCGUCGUCCAGGCUGCUGAGGUGCUGCAGCACACUCUCCAUGGGAACCUCCUCCGCCCCUUCAAACUCUCCUCCGAUACAGUCUCCUAGCACACCUGCGACCAGCGCUCCCCUGAAGCGGGACAAAGACGCCGGACCUCCCGCGGCUGCCGCCGCUCUCACCGCCGUGACUGCCAUUCAUCCGACGGGGAAAAUGACUUCCGCCUGCUCGUUUCUCCGCUGACCCUACUCCCAGACAGCUGGCGAGCGGAUCCAAAGCAAUCCACAACAACAACAAACGUCGACCUGAAGCUCUCUCUGCACGGCUUCCGGAAAACGUUCAGAUCACCGUUUGACCCCCGGUGAAAGUUCGCACAUAGAAGUGCAGCCAAGCAGAGAAGACCUCCAUUAGACGACAGCAUUGAGUCUGAUCUAGUUCACAUAUUUCUAUGCAAUGUAUACCGAAACUGCUAUAAUAAAUGUGCAUGAACUUUA
Molecule: long non-coding RNA, 680 nt
Organism: Haplochromis burtoni (Burton's mouthbrooder)
Lineage: Eukaryota; Metazoa; Chordata; Actinopteri; Cichliformes; Cichlidae
Exons: 2
Source: RefSeq, a predicted model, not a curated record